UUGUACUUGGACCACCUUUUGUUAGCACUUCUGUCUUAUUUGUGUCUCACUAAAUCAGUCGUGCACACAGUCCUGUCCAACUUUUAUCUGUGGAUAUGUUGCUUUGCUGUUUGUAUGCACAAAAAAACAGCGUU
This is a long non-coding RNA of Sander lucioperca (pikeperch), 134 nucleotides long. RefSeq lists it as uncharacterized. The record is from RefSeq and is a predicted model, not a curated record. The transcript has 3 exons. Lineage: Eukaryota; Metazoa; Chordata; Actinopteri; Perciformes; Percidae.